RNAcentral lists this ribosomal RNA (253 nucleotides) under uncultured bacterium. Its description in RNAcentral is "partial 16S ribosomal RNA". It matches the Rfam family "Bacterial small subunit ribosomal RNA", at positions 524 to 776 of the family's 1533-position model. The record is from RNAcentral.
UACGUAGGGUGCAAGCGUUGUCCGGAAUUAUUGGGCGGAAAGAGCUCGUAGGCGGUUCGUCGCGUCGGCUGUGAAAACCUGAGGCUCAACCUCAGGCCUGCAGUCGAUACGGGCGGACUUGAGUACUGCAGGGGAGACUGGAAUUCCUGGUGUAGCGGUGAAAUGCGCAGAUAUCAGGAGGAACACCGGUGGCGAAGGCGGGUCUCUGGGCAGUAACUGACGCUGAGGAGCGAAAGCGUGGGGAGCGAACAGG